UAUGUGAUCGUCUCUCGCAUAUCAAUAAGCGGAGGAAAAGAAACUAACAAGGAUUCCCCUAGUAACGGCGAGUGAAGCGGGAAGAGCUCAAAUUUGAAAUCUUAAAGGGUUUCCCUUUACGAAUUGUAGUUUAAAGAAGUGUUUUCUGUUGAGGUUUUGGUAAAAGUUCUUUGGAAUAGGACAUCAUAGAGGGUGAGAAUCCCGUAUUUGACCUUUACUUUCAACUUUGUGAUACACUUUCAAAGAGUCGGAUUGUUUGGGAAUGCAGUCCAAAAUGGGUGGUAAAUUUCAUCUAAAGCUAAAUACUGGCGAGAGACCGAUAGCGAACAAGUACCGUGAGGGAAAGAUGAAAAGAACUUUGAAAAGAGAGUUAAACAGUACGUGAAAUUGUCAAAAGGGAAGCGUUUGACACCAGUGUUGUUUUUCUGAAAAUCAAUUAAAGAACUGUUUAUGCUAAGUUGUUUAGACUUUAUCAGCUAUCUGUUUAGUUUUGAGCUUUUCUUUAAUGCACUUUUCAGUUAACAAGUCAACAUCAAUUUCUUUUGCUGUAAAAAAGCUUGAGGAAGGUGGCUUGAGAUUCGUCUUAAGUGUUUAUAGCCUCUUGCCUAUGCAGUCGGAGAGAUUGAGGUCUGCAGCGUAGAUCCUUCGGGGCUAAAUGCAUUUGUGCUAAGUUAUAGCAUUUUAUAGACAACUUGUUGACUAUGAUUUGUCUUGUAGCUUACUCGCUUAUGUUAUUUUACCUACGCUUAGGAUGUUGAGUAGCGACAUACGCAC
RNAcentral lists this ribosomal RNA (774 nucleotides) under uncultured Neocallimastigales. Its description in RNAcentral is "partial large subunit ribosomal RNA". It matches the Rfam family "Eukaryotic large subunit ribosomal RNA", at positions 24 to 649 of the family's 3401-position model. Lineage: Eukaryota; Fungi; Neocallimastigomycota; Neocallimastigomycetes; Neocallimastigales. The record is from RNAcentral.